Molecule: ribosomal RNA, 253 nt
Filed under: uncultured bacterium
Lineage: Bacteria
Description: partial 16S ribosomal RNA
Rfam family: Bacterial small subunit ribosomal RNA
Source: RNAcentral
UACGUAGGGCGCAAGCGUUAUCCGGAAUUAUUGGGCGUAAAGAGCUCGUAGGCGGUUUGUCGCGUCUGCCGUGAAAGUCCGGGGCUCAACUCCGGAUCUGCGGUGGGUACGGGCAGACUAGAGUGAUGUAGGGGAGACUGGAAUUCCUGGUGUAGCGGUGAAAUGCGCAGAUAUCAGGAGGAACACCGGUGGCGAAGGCGGGUCUCUGGGCAGUAACUGACGCUGAGGAGCGAAAGCGUGGGGAGCGAACGGG